This is a long non-coding RNA of Planococcus citri (citrus mealybug), 1260 nucleotides long. RefSeq lists it as uncharacterized. NCBI's taxonomy places the organism in Eukaryota, Metazoa, Arthropoda, Insecta, Hemiptera, Pseudococcidae. The record is from RefSeq and is a predicted model, not a curated record. The transcript is spliced from 4 exons.
UAUCUUCAUUCCAGAGUUAAAUAUUGAACACGCGAGCUUGAAUACUCAGUUCCAAACAAGAUUUCUAAUACUUUGCCAGCUAAUUCCUAAUCAAGGUUAUGCUGGCAAAGUAUCAGAAAUCAUGUAUAAGAGCUCGUAUAAAGAAACGAUCCGGACCACCAGUACAAUAAUAUGAUAAAUUUCAAUCCAGUGGAUUUUAUACCAGCCUCCCUCGCCCACGAAAAAGAAAAAUGAUAUUUCCAAUCCUAUAAUGUCUGAUGGAAAACAGAAAAAAAAAUGAUGAUAUUUUCCAUCUAAUCCUAAUGGAAUUGCUGAUACCAUGAAAGCUGAAAACAACAUCAAUUGUGUAACUCAACUCAACAACUACAUGUGUGAUUACAUAGUACAGAUAUGCCUUUUGAAAUCGAGGUACGAGCCAAGAGGCCUAUUCAAUCAGUUUUAUAGAUCCAAUAACUCUGAACAUCCAUGAAGGCAUUUCUUCGAGAACUAUAGAAAAUGGGAUGUUUUGUUCCUGUAUUGGAAUCUGUUCACUGUUUGCUGUUUUGAUUUACUUAUAACAGAUGGAUGGCGUGCUGAAUUUUACGCAGAAUGAAGGAAGACCAAUGUACGAUGUUUUCAACAGGUUUUAUUUAAAUAUGAUUGAAGGAUUUGACAACUAAAGUGAUCUUUGUACAAUACUUCUGCCUGCUGCAAGACUUUUCUUCUAUCCUGUUGAAUCUGGAAUCGCCGAGCCCAACAUUAAUACCAUAGAUGAGUUUUCUUUUGGCGAAAUGUGAAAGUCAAACUUGCAAAGUUUUGUGUGAGUGAGAAAACUGUGUAAGUUUGAUGUUUGCAUUUACAUGGAGGGGGGAGGGAAACCUCAUCUCUUUGUAAAGUUGGACUCUUUAGUCAAAAUGUGUCAUCAACAAGUACAGAUUGAAAUGUACAAUAGCUUCAGAAUUUUGACACAAAAACAAAUUAUUGUGGAUAAUUUUGUGUAACUGUAUACGGCAUUGUAAUCUAUAGUUACCUAGACCUACAGUUAAUAAAAUGCACUGGUUUUCAAUAUGGUAUCUGCAUGGGAAAUCUACUCGCUACAAAAACUUGUAUAAGUUUGAAUUUAGAACUAUAGGAUCUUUAUUUUAAUGCGGCAUAAUUUUUGUGAUAUUUUCUUUGUAAUAGGUACAUAUACUAAAAGCAUUUUCACAUAAUUUAAGUAAUUUUCAACUUUUUUUAAACAAUGUUUUGUGCCAUAUUUUAAUAAAACAGUUUUUUUAGCUA